AGCGUACACGGUGGAUGCCCUGGCAGUCAGAGGCGAUGAAGGACGUGCUAAUCUGCGAAAAGCGUCGGUAAGGUGAUAUGAACCGUUAUAACCGGCGAUGUCCGAAUGGGGAAACCCAGUGCAAUUCGUUGCACUAUCGUUAACUGAAUACAUAGGUUAACGAGGCGAACCGGGGGAACUGAAACAUCUAAGUACCCCGAGGAAAAGAAAUCAACCGAGAUUCCCCCAGUAGCGGCGAGCGAACGGGGAGCAGCCCAGAGUCUGAAUCAGCUUGUGUGUUAGUGGAACGGUCUGGAAAGUCCGACGGUACAGGGUGAUAGUCCCGUACACCAAAAUGCACAGGUUGUGAACUCGAAGAGUAGGGCGGGACACGUGGUAUCCUGUCUGAAUAUGGGGGGACCAUCCUCCAAGGCUAAAUACUCCUGACUGACCGAUAGUGAACCAGUACCGUGAGGGAAAGGCGAAAAGAACCCCGGCGAGGGGAGUGAAAAAGAACCUGAAACCGUGUACGUACAAGCAGUGGGAGCACCUUCGGGUGUGACUGCGUACCUUUUGUAUAAUGGGUCAGCGACUUAUAUUCUGUAGCAAGGUUAACCGUAUAGGGGAGCCGCAGGGAAACCGAGUCUUAACUGGGCGUUAAGUUGCAGGGUAUAGACCCGAAACCCGGUGAUCUAGCCAUGGGCAGGUUGAAGGUUGGGUAACACUAACUGGAGGACCGAACCGACUAAUGUUGAAAAAUUAGCGGAUGACUUGUGGCUGGGGGUGAAAGGCCAAUCAAACCGGGAGAUAGCUGGUUCUCCCCGAAAGCUAUUUAGGUAGCGCCUCGUGAACUCAUCUUCGGGGGUAGAGCACUGUUUCGGCUAGGGGGUCAUCCCGACUUACCAACCCGAUGCAAACUACGAAUACCGAAGAAUGUUAUCACGGGAGACACACGGCGGGUGCUAACGUCCGUCGUGAAGAGGGAAACAACCCAGACCGCCAGCUAAGGUCCCAAAGUCAUGGUUAAGUGGGAAACGAUGUGGGAAGGCACAGACAGCCAGGAUGUUGGCUUAGAAGCAGCCAUCAUUUAAAGAAAGCGUAAUAGCUCACUGGUCGAGUCGGCCUGCGCGGAAGAUGUAACGGGGCUAAACCAUGCACCGAAGCUGCGGCAGCGACACUAUGUGUUGUUGGGUAGGGGAGCGUUCUGUAAGCCUGCGAAGGUGGCCUGUGAGGGUUGCUGGAGGUAUCAGAAGUGCGAAUGCUGACAUAAGUAACGAUAAAGCGGGUGAAAAGCCCGCUCGCCGGAAGACCAAGGGUUCCUGUCCAACGUUAAUCGGGGCAGGGUGAGUCGACCCCUAAGGCGAGGCCGAAAGGCGUAGUCGAUGGGAAACAGGUUAAUAUUCCUGUACUUGGUGUUACUGCGAAGGGGGGACGGAGAAGGCUAUGUUAGCCGGGCGACGGUUGUCCCGGUUUAAGCAUGUAGGCGGAGGUUCCAGGUAAAUCCGGUACCUUUUAACGCUGAGGUGUGAUGACGAGGCACUACGGUGCUGAAGUAACAAAUGCCCUGCUUCCAGGAAAAGCCUCUAAGCAUCAGGUAACAUCAAAUCGUACCCCAAACCGACACAGGUGGUCAGGUAGAGAAUACCAAGGCGCUUGAGAGAACUCGGGUGAAGGAACUAGGCAAAAUGGUGCCGUAACUUCGGGAGAAGGCACGCUGGUGUGUAGGUGAAGUCCCUGCGGAUGGAGCUGAGACCAGUCGAAGAUACCAGCUGGCUGCAACUGUUUAUUAAAAACACAGCACUGUGCAAACACGAAAGUGGACGUAUACGGUGUGACGCCUGCCCGGUGCCGGAAGGUUAAUUGAUGGGGUUAUCCGUAAGGAGAAGCUCUUGAUCGAAGCCCCGGUAAACGGCGGCCGUAACUAUAACGGUCCUAAGGUAGCGAAAUUCCUUGUCGGGUAAGUUCCGACCUGCACGAAUGGCGUAAUGAUGGCCAGGCUGUCUCCACCCGAGACUCAGUGAAAUUGAACUCGCUGUGAAGAUGCAGUGUACCCGCGGCAAGACGGAAAGACCCCGUGAACCUUUACUAUAGCUUGACACUGAACAUUGAGCCUUGAUGUGUAGGAUAGGUGGGAGGCUUUGAAGCGUGGACGCCAGUCUGCGUGGAGCCAACCUUGAAAUACCACCCUUUAAUGUUUGAUGUUCUAACGUUGGCCCCUGACCGGGGUUGCGGACAGUGUCUGGUGGGUAGUUUGACUGGGGCGGUCUCCUCCCAAAGAGUAACGGAGGAGCACGAAGGUUAGCUAAUCCUGGUCGGACAUCAGGAGGUUAGUGCAAUGGCAUAAGCUAGCUUGACUGCGAGCGUGACGGCGCGAGCAGGUGCGAAAGCAGGUCAUAGUGAUCCGGUGGUUCUGAAUGGAAGGGCCAUCGCUCAACGGAUAAAAGGUACUCCGGGGAUAACAGGCUGAUACCGCCCAAGAGUUCAUAUCGACGGCGGUGUUUGGCACCUCGAUGUCGGCUCAUCACAUCCUGGGGCUGAAGUAGGUCCCAAGGGUAUGGCUGUUCGCCAUUUAAAGUGGUACGCGAGCUGGGUUUAGAACGUCGUGAGACAGUUCGGUCCCUAUCUGCCGUGGGCGCUGGAGAAUUGAGGGGGGCUGCUCCUAGUACGAGAGGACCGGAGUGGACGCAUCACUGGUGUUCGGGUUGUCAUGCCAAUGGCACUGCCCGGUAGCUAAAUGCGGAAGAGAUAAGUGCUGAAAGCAUCUAAGCACGAAACUUGCCCCGAGAUGAGUUCU
RNAcentral lists this ribosomal RNA (2773 nucleotides) under human gut metagenome. RNAcentral's name for it is "bacterial LSU rRNA". It matches the Rfam family "Bacterial large subunit ribosomal RNA". The record is from RNAcentral.